AGGAGGAACAGCAACAGUGGAAGCAGCCAGGUCUGGAGCCCUGGAUUCAGCUCCCUCAGUAGCUACAGAGCUCUCAGUCUGCAGGGUCCUGGAUGCUCCAGGGCGGG
This 107-nucleotide microRNA precursor is filed under the name Canis lupus familiaris (dog). RNAcentral describes it as "mir-8834 microRNA precursor family". It matches the Rfam family "mir-8834 microRNA precursor family". RNAcentral also lists the same sequence under 1 other name. Lineage: Eukaryota; Metazoa; Chordata; Mammalia; Carnivora; Canidae. The record is from Rfam by way of RNAcentral.